CCGAGUUUACAACUCCCAAACCCCUGUGAACAUACCACUUGUUGCCUCGGCGGAUCAGCCCGCUCCCGGUAAAACGGGACGGCCCGCCAGAGGACCCCUAAACUCUGUUUCUAUAUGUAGCUUCUGAGUAAAACCAUAAAUAAAUCA
RNAcentral lists this unclassified non-coding RNA (147 nucleotides) under soil metagenome. Its description in RNAcentral is "partial internal transcribed spacer 1". The record is from RNAcentral.